UUUCAAAGGAAUACGAAGAGAGAAUUUCAGAACUCAUCAAGAAUUUGAAGAUCAAAGAUGAUGAGAAAGAGCUACUUUCAAAGGAAUACGAAGAGAAAAUUUCAGAACUCAACAAGAAUUCAAAAAUCAAAGAUAAUGAGAAAGAGCUACUUUCAAAGGAAUACGAAGAGAAAAUUUCAGAACAAAUCAAGAAUAUGAAGAUCAAAGAUGAUGAGAAAGAGCUACUUUCAAAGGAAUACGAAGAGAAAAUUUCAGAACUCAACAAGAAUUUGAAAAUCAAAGAUGGUGAGAAAGAGCUACUUUCAAAGGAAUACGAAGAGAAAAUUUCAGAACUCAUCAAGAAUUCAAAAAUCAAAGAUAAUGAGAAAGAGCUACUUUCAAAGGAAUACAAAGAGAGAAUUUCAGAACUCAUCAAGAAUUUGAAGAUCAAAGAUGAUGAGAAAGAGCUACUUUCAAAGGAAUACGAAGAGAAAAUUUCAGAACAAAUCAAGAAUUCGAAGAUCAAAGAUGAUGAGAAAGAACUACUUUCAAAGGAAUACGAAGAGAAAAUUUCAGAACAAAUCAAGAAUAUGAAGAUCAAAGAUGAUGAGAAAGAGCUACUUUCAAAGGAAUACGAAGAGAAAAUUUCAGAACUCAUCAAGAAUCUGAAGAUCAAAGAUGAUGAGAAAGAGCUGCUUUCAAAGGAAUACGAAGAGAAAAUUUCAGAAGCCGUCAAAAAUGU
RNAcentral lists this long non-coding RNA (721 nucleotides) under Zostera marina. RNAcentral describes it as "long non-coding RNA (ZMAR_LNC002988)". Lineage: Eukaryota; Viridiplantae; Streptophyta; Magnoliopsida; Alismatales; Zosteraceae. The record is from RNAcentral.